GGGGGGGAGCGAUGGGUUUGAAGUGUCCCAUGUGCUGAGUUGAAUCUCACAUUUCUAGCUUUUUUGGCUAGCCAGGAAUUGGUUUUAAAAAAGAAGCCUCUCCCAUAAACAGAUGCAGCCUGGUAAACUUGCACUUGGCUGGCUGCAUGCUCGCAGCGGAGGCCUUGUAUUAUCCCUGUGCAUCCCAGUUGCCGAGAACACGGCUCUUCUUCCCUUGGCAAAGAUGAUUCUUUUGUUUUGCCUUUGUGGCUGUUUAUUCCCUUACCAGCAGCUCUUUCCAGCUCUCUCUUAACAUACACCUGUCCCCUAUUCUGCUGGAGAGGAUUUGGCAGAAUGCAACCCUUUUUUCUCACGUAGUUUGGAUCUGUAAUAAAGAUGUCUGUUUUGGCAGCUCGUGGAGCUUCUCUGACAAAUACUGUUACUAAUUAUUACUGUUUUUAUGGAGUUUAUUUAUAGUUUCCGUUCAGUGUUUUGAAACAGGGCUAGGCAGACUUCAGCCUGGUUGAAUCUCCUCUCUGUGUGUGUUGUGGUUUUUUUGCUAGAACCCCAAUAAUUGGUACUAGUAGCUGGAGUCAGGUGCAAGAGUCAAUUAGAAUUGAAGAAUAGACUGCCUCUGGUGUAUUAUGAGCUUAGGAAUUUGUUUUCAAUACCAGAAGUCAACUGAGCCUACAGUUCCUUCUCACGAAAGUCUGCUUUCUUUAUUUCAACAGCCUAAUUUGUUUUGUUUUCUUGAACAGUUGGUGCCAAAAUCACCUAGAGACCAACCUUCUCUCUCUCUCUCUCUCCCCCCACCCCCAUUUUAAAGCUAUUUACACAAAUUAUCUAGGACCCCAUAAAUGUUCUGGAGGAACUUGAGAGCUGAAUAAGGUAUUCCCAUAUUGUUGAUGAGGGAUGUAGGCUGAGAGAGUGCUUGCUUAAGACUCUCUGGUGAGUUUGUAGCUCUGGACAAUUUCCAGCUCAUUUUCUUGGCCAUUACGCAAGAGUCCGAACAUAAUCAUCUUGCCUUGGGAUUGGCAACCCCUUAACUGGAAAAGGAAAGAAACUCUGAACUAUUUAUAUCCCACCUUUCUUCCAAGGAGCCCGAGGUGGCGUACCUGGUACUCCGCCUCUCCACAUCAUCUUCACAACGGUCCUGUGAGGUAGGUUAGCUCGAGAAACUGACUGGCCUGAGAUCACCCAACAAGUUUCAUGACUUGAGUUGGGAUUCACCCACUGGUGAACACUUGGUGCUAAACCACACUGAGUCUCUUGAGUGUAAGUCAAGAGGAAUUGACUAUUGAUGGCCCGCAAACUGGCCCACAGUAUUUCUGGAGGAACUUGUGGUGAUGUUUCCUACCUGGCAGAUGACCCACUUGUGGGGGGAGGCUUCUGAGAUAUGACCCUGCACUUCCAGUCUUCUGUAGAGGGCAUGCCAUCCCUCCUUGCCCUUUCUUGGCCCCUUGGUUCCUGGGACAAACCUCUCAACUUCUGGUAGAAGUGUUUUGUUGGUUCUCGUUCUACUGUUGGGAACAAUCCUCCAUAUUGGAAAUCACUGACUAUCAUUGUCCUGUUCAUAAAGUAUAUCUGAGUAGUAAUGUGCUUGUUCCUGCAUAAAACCCCUACAGGAGUAGUAAUUAACGCUUCUAGUUUUUGUUGUUAUGAGAACAGUUACACAGAUCUGUGGGCAAGGGGAUACAAUGAGAAACAGCUAAAUCUGCUGGAAUUCGUUGUGAUGUUGAAGGGGCAGUUGAAGUUUGCAACACAGAGUUGAGUGGUUGUGAAAACACCUUGGCUAGGCAGACACUGGUGGUGUAAGUGAGUCUUUAAUGAUAUCUCUGGCAGAAUGACUGGUAGUCCAUUCAUGUGCCUCUCUUUAUUUUUAUUUUUGGAUGCACUUACCGCUUCGACUUGCAUCUGAAAGAGCAAUAGGUGUUUUAUGACAUCAUGGGUUUCCACAGAGACCGAAAGAGAGGGGUGAUUUCCUACACUGCCUAUCUCAGAAUAGCUUUGGGUUUUUCUCUUUUAUAAGGGAAUCUCUCUUACACAAUCCCACAUGCCUAGAUUGAUGUAGCCAGCCACACUUUGUGAACUCCUUGCCUCUUUCUGGAAGAGCUCACUGUAGGAUGAAUUAAGAAAAGAGGGACUGGAGCAAUAAGGCUGCUGUAAGACACGAGUGUGGAUAUGUUAUCCUUUGUGGAUAUUUUUACACUCACAUCUUUUGUUCUGGCAUACACCACGUCACAGACACCUGCAUCUUGUUGUUGCAGUUCUAUGCACCAUCCUGUACAUUUACAUGCUGGAGCAGCAAGCACUGGGGUUGUGCCACAUGGCUUCAAAGGAGCCGACAGAACGGUUAAUGCCUAUAAAGAAAGAGGCACUGAAGAGGUGGAGGCCAUAGUUGCUACAUUGUCAUGACCCCAGUACCAGCAAUGACCUGGACACAGAGUUAGAGGCUGCAGGGGCACCAGAAUAGGAGCUGGGUCUGGGCUUAGAUCUGACUGCAGAAGAUAGGAAGACCACUGCACUUGAGAGAGAACUCUCAGACUACCAGGCCUAUGGAACCAAAAGUCUGGACCUUCAUGGACACCUUCUUCUGAGUCUGAAGAACCAGAUGCCUCCCACCACACACCACCAGUCUUGGGAGUACUAGGACUUCACCAGGAGGAAGGAAGCAGGAGCACCCAACAUCUUUAGACCUGAAGGUUGGCCCUUUAAGGCUCUGAAGUUCUCUGAAGGGGGUUAAACCUAGAGGAGGUAUUCUGGAGCCAGGACCCCAAAAGGCCUCAGUGUGCUCCCAACUUUUGUUGGAGCACCUUGCUUGCUUGGAGCUGUCCAUGGUCUAGCCUUGCCUCUUGUCAUGCUGUUUUCCUCGUGGGUCCAGACAUUGGACCAGAACACAGCACACACUAUUUGAAUGCAGAAGGUCCCCAGGCCUAUCUUUGGCAUCUCCCUUCAGAAAAAAAGAGGGGGAAAGCCCAAAGGUCUCAGCAGGCCUGGAAAAGAUACCUGCCAGAGCCCUUGGAGAGUGGCUUCCAGUCAGAGUAGCCUGCUAUUAAGCUAGAUGGGGUGGUCAGAAUUUAAGGUAGACAAUGAUCUACUGGUAGGUUAUUGGCCAAUUUCUAGUAGACCUUCCUGGUGGUGUUGGUUGCGGGGAUCCUUCCAAGAAUAUUGGACCUUGGGUGGAUUCUGAUAGGCAUAUCUCUCUUCUGCUUUCUGGGUGUUUAUGAAAGUUGGCUGUUUCUGGGUCAAAGAUCUGAAACUCGCAGAAUGUGUUUCACUGUGAUUGCUUAUCUACCCAGAGCUCUGUCGCAGCUUUCAAGUCAAUGAAUGCAUCUCUGAUUCUUAGUAAUCAAGCAACAGGAUCACCAGUUUUGGCAGUAGCCUGGCAUUUGGGAGGAACAGCUACUACUAAUAGCUGGUUAAGGGGGAUCAGAUCACUUUCCUAUCUAAUCCAGAUAGCUUUAUCUGAGGGCAUUGACUCUGUUAAUUAUAACGAAACAUGCCCAACGGAAGUUGCUGCUAAGCAUCUUAAACUGUCAGAUGAGUACUUGGGCUUCUGUUGAAAUCCCAUUUUAGCCUACUGCUGCAAAUGCCAGCCCCUUCAAACCAGGCAGUGUUGGUGAAACAUACAGAGGCCCUUACCCUGUUAAGACACCAUGUUGAACUUAACUACUAAAGAAAUGUACUGUAUGGGGAGGCAUUUUGUUGUUGCCUGUGGGUAACAUGCCAAUCCAUCUUGCAAACGAUGCCCCCAUUUUAUUGGGUUGUCAUUUCCAUAAAGAGGUUCCACCAGAAGAAUUCCCAGUAAAAACUCCUUGCAGGAAAGAGGGUGAGGGGAAUCUUCUUAACACAGCAGUUCCAAGGGGUUAUAUGGAUAUGGUUAUAUGGAUGAUAUUGCUAAAGAGCAUCUCUACAAGGUGUCCACCUCUACAAAAUACUACCUACCAGUAGAUGCUUCUGCAUGUCUCUUCUAGAUGUAUCUCCCACUUCUAGAUGCUUGGAGCAGACGAAGGAGACCUGUUGGUAUUAUGAGCAUCCAAAAAUCAUCUUCGUGGCUACUGCAGCGCUGAGCUAGAGAAACCUUGCUUUGAUCCAGCAAGUCAAUUCAUUACAUAGAUUUAAUCCAUUUUGAUGGAGUCCUAAGUAAGGAAGGUGACACAUCCCUCCUGUGAAAAGCAAAGGUAGUCCCUGUUGGCUUGUGAGUGAAAUCUCAAAAUCCACACUUAUUGGGCCUAUCAGAAGGUUGCAGAAUUCGUGUGUAAGCUCAGGUUAUCCAAAGCUGUUCAUCAGCAAAGAUGAUAAACAAGACAAAAGGGGUGAGAGGAGGGAGAAAAGAUGGGAAGCAUUCUUUUGGAAUAUCAUUUCUGUUGUAAUGAGAUGGCAGAAACAUAUGUGAAUUGACUGCACCAGGUGCCAUUGUGCCAUCUUAGUUUUGCUCCAGGUCUUUUAAAAAUCUGUCAGAGGACUUAAUUUCCUUAUUGUUUUCAUGGGCACAGAACUUUUAAAGUUCCAGUUGCGCUAGAAAGUCAUGCUGUCUCCUUCUCUGUAAAGUUCUGUGCCCUUAUGCCAAAUGGCAGGCUGAGAUCCCUUGAAAAUCCCAGAGAGAAGCCUGAACAGUUCAUUAUUACAGACAUCUUUUCUCUCUCUCUUUUGGAGCAAUGUAUGUUGUUGUUUAUACCGAAGCAAGCUGAAAAGCAAGGCUGCUCGCUUGUUUGUGGUUUUGGCUUUUGCAUACUAGCUCCAAGCGGAAUUGCAAUAUCCUGUCCUGUUUGUGGGAUCAAAGAGCAUGGCUCUUAUUCCAGAUUAAAUUGCGUCAGAAUAAACGCUGCUCUUCGGUUGUAUUUUCGCCAGCCCUCGACACAACCAGAAUUGCUGUUUUAUUUUCAAGGGCUUAAACUGGAUAGGUUAACCCAAACACACUAACUUUGUAUCCCUGCAGAUUGAGUAAAUUUACUUUUUAAUGGGGUUUUUUACCACUUUGGCUUUACCCGAAAUUUAACCUAUACUGCCCACUCUCCUAGUCAUUAAUUUUGGCAUUGCAUUAGAAUUGCUUCUCAGCCCUUUAAAUACUAAAAUCCAUUCUUUUUGUGUGGUUGGGCAAACCUGUCCAUCUGUCUUCAGGGGUUACUAAUCCACAUUAAGGAUACAUACUUGAGAUGGCUUAAUGGAGAUUAUUUUCCCUUUUAGUUACGCCUUUGUACUUGCAACUCUGUUCUUAGAAAUGAAGAGAGGGAGCAGCAGAGAAAUGUAGCGCUACAGAAAAUGUCGUACAAAGGUCUUCUUAUCCUCCUUCACCAUCCACAAUAACAUUAGCUAUGACCUCGAGGAGCUUUACUCGCUUUUAUAAAAAGAGAGAAAUGUUCUAUGAGGCGUUCCUUCUGUGCCAUUUUAAUCCUCGGCUAAUUAAUCGGCAUAAUCGUGCCCGAGGGAUGCAGGGUAGUAUGCCAUCUCCGAAUUAACGCUCCUAAAUAUCUGGUUGUGUGAGAAGUCAUAACAGGGAAUGGGGAGGAGCACGGGAACUCUUAAAAACUGAUUUGAAUAGUGACAAGGGACCCAAAAACAGAGAUCCUUAUCAUUGUUGCCAACGGCGCAGGGGAUGUAGGGCGGGCGAAGCCAACUAAACAGUGGUAGGUGCCAGACAGACAUCGAAUCCUCCUUUCUCUUAGCCUCGCGGGGGAAUUCAGAAGGGGAAAUAAAUGGAACUUGUGUAUGCCAAAGCUGUGAGAUUAUUUCACUUUGGGCGGGUGUGUCUAUUCCAGCUGAGGUUUUGCAGCCAGCCUGCAUCUGACCGAUGCGAAAUCUUGAAGCUAAAAUCCCUAGCUGGAAAACAUUGGUCACCUGAGAGCACAGAAGGCAAAUGGUUCUGUUGGAUUUUGCAAUAAUAGAUCAUUUGCCCUGCCAACUGUUUCUGGAUGGUUUUUGGAAGGGGUUUUCGCAGCUGCACUUUGAAGAUCCUUGGGUCCCUGAAAGACAGCAACCUGAUGCUAUCGAGUUUUUGAUAAAUUUGAUAUCUUGUGAAUAAUAUGCACACAGAGUUUGCCAAUGCAAGUUUCCACAUGUAAAUGCAGAGUCGAACAAGGUGUGAAAAUAUUCCACCACAAAUUCCUCUCAGUUCUUCUCUUUUUUUUGGGGGGGGGAGUACUGGGUUUUCUUGGGGUGGGGAGCAGGAAUUGUGUGUCAGGUACAGUUUGGGAAGCCUGGGCACAUGUCAAGUCACUCUGCCCCAAUUUUCUGUCUGUAAAAUGGGGAUGUCAUGCUGUCACAGUGCAGUUGCAAGACUGGAAAACAUUUUGGCAAUUAGAGCUGCUAUUUGAGUGGUAAUUAACACCACCAUCUAGCUAGUCACACCAAAGGGCAUUAGCAUAUUCAUAGUCCUCAUUAGGUGACGGGCUCAGAAUAAAUAGGCUUUCUAGAUAUCUUUUUUCACGAAGCAAAGG
RNAcentral lists this long non-coding RNA (6416 nucleotides) under Podarcis lilfordi (Lilford's wall lizard). The record is from RNAcentral. Lineage: Eukaryota; Metazoa; Chordata; Lepidosauria; Squamata; Lacertidae.